Carica papaya (papaya) is the source of this 930-nucleotide non-coding RNA. The record is from RefSeq and is a predicted model, not a curated record. NCBI's taxonomy places the organism in Eukaryota, Viridiplantae, Streptophyta, Magnoliopsida, Brassicales, Caricaceae.
GCGAAGCAGCCAAUAGCAGUCUGUUCUCGCCUAUCGAUAGAUAGCAGGUUGUUUCCAAGCUCAAACCAUUUGAAACUGAAUUGCUACUUUUUUCUUGUUAUUGAUAGAGUGGUAUUCUCCGCCCCUGUCAAAUAAAGUAGAGGGAGAGAACUGGAAGAGAGAAGGAAAAAGAGCAAAGGAUUGACAAGUCUAAUGGGAGAAGAAUGGCUGAGACCUUGACUGCCUUCGAGACAAAGAUAACCCAAGCGGUCUAACCCCCGGGGCGGACCCCAACCGAAAGGCGCUAGACGGACUAACGGCAAGCGAGAUAAAGAAAGCAGCUGGCCCUAUGUGUAAAACCUUGCCGCGAGAGAGUCUUUCUCCAAUGAGAAUAAAGAGAGUUUUUGGGCAAGACAAGAAAGGAACUCGCCCUUUGAUACCAAGGGAUAAGAGCUGAUUGCUGGCGAUGACUUGGUGAAGGGAAUCUAUGAGAAAAGGUUCUCGAACCGGGUUCCGACCGACGCGGAGCCAACGAGUUCAGUCGAACAGCGUAACGAGUCUAAGGGCGGGAUCAAGCUUCAAAGGAAUGGACGGGCGUAGGCUUAAUAGUGAACGCAGACCCCCCUGCUACUAGCUUAUAGAUAGUUGAUCAAUGACUUAAAAGACAGAUGCCGAGAGAAACAGUUAGACUUCUUUAUUGCGUUGCGAAGAGAGAUCGAAGACGAAGAUUUUCAACUUUUUAUUUUGACGCGCAAGCCUAAACUAUACAGGCCGAAAACAGAUGGAUCACAAAGAAGCAGUCAGCACAAUAUUUACGAUGUCGAGCAGGAGGGGAAAAGACUCUGGCAAAGUUCUAGAGCAAUUUCAGUUUGGACAAAUCUUGGAGAGACCAAGAAUGCUUGGACAAAAUGCAGUGCAGCCUGCCAUUGAUCACCUUGGAGUUUUCUCACC